RNAcentral lists this ribosomal RNA (441 nucleotides) under uncultured Obesumbacterium sp. RNAcentral describes it as "bacterial SSU rRNA". It matches the Rfam family "Bacterial small subunit ribosomal RNA", at positions 349 to 782 of the family's 1533-position model. Lineage: Bacteria; Pseudomonadati; Pseudomonadota; Gammaproteobacteria; Enterobacterales; Hafniaceae. The record is from RNAcentral.
CAGCAGUGGGGAAUAUUGCACAAUGGGCGCAAGCCUGAUGCAGCCAUGCCGCGUGUAUGAAGAAGGCCUUCGGGUUGUAAAGUACUUUCAGCGAGGAGGAAGGCAUUGUGGUUAAUAACCAUAGUGAUUGACGUUACUCGCAGAAGAAGCACCGGCUAACUCCGUGCCAGCAGCCGCGGUAAUACGGAGGGUGCAAGCGUUAAUCGGAAUUACUGGGCGUAAAGCGCACGCAGGCGGUUGAUUAAGUCAGAUGUGAAAUCCCCGAGCUUAACUUGGGAACUGCAUUUGAAACUGGUCAGCUAGAGUCUUGUAGAGGGGGGUAGAAUUCCAGGUGUAGCGGUGAAAUGCGUAGAGAUCUGGAGGAAUACCGGUGGCGAAGGCGGCCCCCUGGACAAAGACUGACGCUCAGGUGCGAAAGCGUGGGGAGCAAACAGGAUUAGA